AGGAUGAACGCUGGCGGCGUGCUUAACACAUGCAAGUCACGGGGGCCCAGCAAUGGGCAACCGGCGAACGGGUGCGUAACACGUGAGCAACCUACCGAAUUGUGGGGGAUAGCCGGCCCAACGGCCGGGUAAUACCGCAUACGCUCGAGACGAGGCAUUUCGACUCGAGGAAACCUCCGGGGCAAUUUGAGGGGCUCGCGGCCUAUCAGCUAGUUGGUGAGGUAACGGCUCACCAAGGCGACGACGGGUA
This 250-nucleotide ribosomal RNA is filed under the name uncultured soil bacterium. RNAcentral describes it as "partial 16S ribosomal RNA". It matches the Rfam family "Bacterial small subunit ribosomal RNA", at positions 26 to 285 of the family's 1533-position model. The record is from RNAcentral.